This 563-nucleotide ribosomal RNA is filed under the name Diversispora spurca. RNAcentral describes it as "SSU rRNA". It matches the Rfam family "Eukaryotic small subunit ribosomal RNA", at positions 17 to 575 of the family's 1831-position model. Lineage: Eukaryota; Fungi; Glomeromycota; Glomeromycetes; Diversisporales; Diversisporaceae. The record is from RNAcentral.
CCAGUAGUCAUAUGCUUGUCUCAAAGAUUAAGCCAUGCAUGUCUAAGUAUAAACCAAUUUAUACAGGUGAAACUGCGAAUGGCUCAUUAAAUCAGUUAUAGUUUAUUUGAUAGUCCAAUUACUACUUGGAUAACCGUGGUAAUUCUAGAGCUAAAACAUGCUAAAAAUCUCGACUUCUGGAAGAGAUGUAUUUAUUAGAUAAAAAGCCAAUAGCCCGCAAGGGUUUCCUAAUGGUGAAUCAUGAUAACUUUUCGAAUCGCAUGGUCUUGAACCGGCGAUGAAUCAUUCAAAUUUCUGCCCUAUCAACUUUCGAUGGUAGGAUAGAGGCCUACCACGGUUUUAACGGGUAACGGGGAAUUAGGGUUCGAUUCCGGAGAGGGAGCCUGAGAAACGGCUACCACAUCCAAGGAAGGCAGCAGGCACGCAAAUUACCCAAUCCCGACACGGGGAGGUAGUGACAAUAAAUAACAAUACGGGGCUCAUUUGGGUUUCGUAAUUGGAAUGAGUACAAUUUAAAUCCCUCAACGAGGAACAAUUGGAGGGCAAGUCUGGUGCCAGCAGCC